CAGUUAAAUGUGUGAAAUAGUUGUUAAUUAAAUGAAUAUACUUUUUCAUGCAUCGAUCCACAUAUCAAGGAUGACGUUGGCCGAUGUUAUUAUUCUGGCGGAGGUCACAUGAAGGUUGGACAAUUCCCUUGUCCAAUAUCCCUUGUCUGGGGAUAUACUUGUGUUUUUCUUGAGUGGAGUCGAUUAGUUUUGGCUAUUUAAACAUGAAUAUUGUUAUCAAACUGCUAUUUAUGCUUGUCAAUUUGAAAUGUACAUUGUUAAAGUUAUUUUUUUGCCUUAUAUAUAAUUUUUACAUUCUACAUGUAGUGAAUUUUAAGUCUACUUAUGUUUGCAUCUGCAGGUUGUUCAAGUCAAUACAAUGGUUGAUGGUGCAAUAUGAAAUUUGUAGAAAUUAACUUGUAUCAAAGUAUGUUGAUUGCCAUACUCUUAGG
This 431-nucleotide long non-coding RNA is filed under the name Erythranthe guttata (spotted monkey flower). RNAcentral's name for it is "long non-coding RNA (EGUT_LNC002086)". Lineage: Eukaryota; Viridiplantae; Streptophyta; Magnoliopsida; Lamiales; Phrymaceae. The record is from RNAcentral.